Molecule: long non-coding RNA, 4695 nt
Organism: Lotus japonicus
Lineage: Eukaryota; Viridiplantae; Streptophyta; Magnoliopsida; Fabales; Fabaceae
Exons: 2
Source: RefSeq, a predicted model, not a curated record
UUGGAAACAAAAUAAAAAGAAACUUAGUUUCUUUCCUCUUCACGCAGCAAGCAAUCUGAUCCUUCCUUCAUAUUUUCUUUUUCUUCUUCCUCUUGCCGCAGCAACCCACAACACGCACACCAUGCCUUCUCAUGCUUCUCAUCACCAAGCUUCUUUUCUCUUCUCCUUCCUCACACCCAAACAUGGCAGCCACACCACCACCGUCCUUGCUCUCCCCAUGGCUGAGCACGUAAGCUGCCACCAUGAAGCCACCUUGUUUCUCUACUACGUGAACCACCACCAUGAGCCCAAGAGCCAAGAGCUCCUCUCCUAUGGCUGCACCACCGCAGGUCCAGCAACCACCACCACCCUCCUUUCCUCAUGAGACAAGCCACCCCACUACUCAGCCUUCCUCAACGUGCCACACCACCAAGACCAGCAACUGCCGCUCCUCUUUUUCCUUGGCCGCGAGCAAGCCACCACCGUGGGUACUCCUUCGUCCUCCUUUUUCGGCGAGGAAAAGCCACCAAUCAAUGAGCUCAACAUCACCACACCACCACCGCAUCACAGCUUGAAGCCGCCACAGCCACCAUGAACAAAACAGAGCAAGAAAAACGUGAAAACAGAGGAGUACGACGCCACCGACGUCGUCGACGCUGUCAACUUCGACCUUUGAUUCCGGUGUCCCCGGGCCUCCGUUCACAGGUUAGUACCGUUGGAACCCUUGCGACGUCCACAACAAAACCCAUGUUCCGGAUCGUCGUUUCGUCGCCGCCGACCGCCGCCGCUGCCGCCUUCGGGAGCUUUUUCCGGUCAACUCCGACGACCAAUGGAAAAACGGAGUGUACUGCGGCGAUCCUUGUCGCGAGGAGAGUAAAUCCCUAUUUUCUAUUUCAUAUUUCGGUCAUUUUAUUCGACGACCACCGUCGACCAUCGGCUGAACUUUCUGGGCAAACCGUCGACUCUUUGGGGAAACGGACAACGCCGUUGAAUUCCUUUCCGCGAAAGGAUGAAGGAACAACCUUCCUUUGUGUCUCCGGCGACAAUCCCUCCGUCAACCCCGUGAGCCGCAACUUUCUCUGGCGACACUUUGCCGACAAGUUUCUAAAACUUGAUUUUCGGUACGAAUAACGGAGACGCUUGGCGACGAAGCCAAAGGACAAAAGGAAGCGAGCUAACACGGGAAAGCAAAGAUGUGAAUGGAUUGGAGUCGCAGCUUUGUAAGGGAAUUGGCUAAGGUAAGGGCAACUUACACUGCUAGCUAAUGCUUUAGGCGUCGAUAAUUUCGACUUGCUUAUUUAUGUUUCUUUAUCGCUUUGACUGGAGAAAAUAUUUUGAGGCUUUGGCCGUGUGAAACUAAUAUGAAGCGUGUGUCUCCUUUUUCUGAGAGGCUUCGGUCGUUUACUGGUUUCUGUCUUAUGAUUUCCGCACAUAAUUAUUGUCGUAUUGCUUCUUAUAGCUUGAGAUAUUGAUAUUGUUGUCGAAUCGUGCGCUUUGACGCAAUUGUGGAGUGUAGGACAUUUGAUUUGAUUCUCUUUGAUCAUUCGGGUUGAAAGAAUAACCCUAGGCAGGUCCUGACUUGAGGUCUGAGAUCUAGCUCUCUUUGAAAUACUUAGACUUUUCCCGGGGAUUAUAUUUGGGGGAUUUGGGAAACUUUGAAUAGUUAGAAUUUGAAACUUGAGAACUUAUGGAACUUGGAUUUCGAUAAUAAACCUCAUAACUUGAUUAACUCAACUUGAAAUGCUUUGAUUAAUUAACGAGACCUUUAGGGAUACUUAAGAGUUGGAAAUGAUUGUGAAAAACGGGAAAUAGUCGAAAAGCCUUGAACCUGAGAUGACUUGAUGGUCGCCACGGGGGUGAACCAGAGUGACUAGGGAAAUGUCACUGAGUGCAAUAUGUACUCCGGCUUAUCACAGCCUAGUCGUAAAGACGACUUUGACCUUCGGGUACUUUUAAAUUGAGAUUUGUAGUUAAACACGUACGAGCGAGGACGAUUCGAUGUUUAGCUAACCGUAUUGCAUCAUGCAUACGUUCGGGGUUUUGGGACGGUCGAAAGACUGGGCCUUCACGAAGAACACCAAGAGUGUAUCUUCGACAUUGUGGCGCGAAUCCGUAUGUCCAAACCCGACGGGUUGGGCCGAUUCGGUAAUAAUUGUUGACACGCGCGGAUCCGUAUAUUCAAUCCGAUGGAUUGGAUCGAUUCGGCGAUAGUCACUCAGGCACGCGUGAGUCCGUAUGUUCAAUCCAAGGGAUUGGAUCGAUUCAGCGAUUGCCAUUUUAACUCGCGUGAAUCCGUAUGUUCAAUCCGAGGGAUUGGAUCGAUUCAGCGAUAACUCUUCGACUCGCGCGGAUCCGUAUGUUCAAUCCGAUGGAUUGGAUCGAUUCGGCGAUAGUCAUUGGACACUCGCAACGUCCGUAUGUUCGACUCUUUUGAGUGAACCGACUUGGCGUUGUCAUUUGUUGCGUGUGCGAGUCCGUAUGUUCAACCUGAUGGGUUGGAUCGACUUGACAUGCCUAAUUGUGGGAGUUGCGUGUGCGAGUCCGUAUGUUCAAUGUAAGACACGGAUUUUCAGAACAAGUUAAUUUCCGACUCACGCGUGGAAUCAGUGUAAGCGUGACAGGAGCUUGAUAUUUGAGAAAGAUUAAUGAAGAAGAAAGUUCAGGAAUUGCUCGAGGAAUGUUGCGUUGUUGCUUUCGGAGCUAGUGCGAGUCGUCUGCACACCUGCCUUAUGGCGAGCGUGUCCAGAAUAGGCUAAUUUCGCUUUUAAAGCAAUGUUUAGGCGAUAUUUCGAAUUCUUGGAAAAUUUAAAGAUUCUCUUUAUUUUUCCUUCGACCAUCGUUUCAUUUCGGAACUCUGGACUGUACGCACGAUAGUAUUUACUUUUCGGAAGUUCGCCGACGCUAAUUUCUUUGCUUCAAAACCCUAUUUUCGAGCAAUGGAUGAAGACUUUUUCUAUUCGGGACUUCUAACGAAGUUUCCGUCCGCGUUGCCAGAUUUUUUUCGACGUUUCCAAUCUUUCUUCAGUAGGAAGUUUUGUCGUUUGAGCAUCACAGCAAAAAGUAGUUUUUCGGGACAGACUAACUUACACCGCUUUUGGCGUUUUGGAUAUCGUUUUUCCCAAAUCCUAGAUAUUUGUUUUGAGUUCUGGAAUUCUGACGCCAGAAUCUCUCUUAGAAUUCCUCGGUGAUCGUGCUGCAAAAAUCAGAAUCGCGAAAUUUUCAUUUUCCCGCGAUUUCGCCUGCCUAUAAAUAACUCAAAAAGCAAAAAUUCCUUCAUUUUCUUCCUAUUGUGGCCGAAUUUCGUGGAGAGCAAGGGGGGAGGAGAUUUUCGCGAAAACUUGACUGAUCUUCGCGCAGUUCGUCCCUACUUCUAGGUAUCGAGGUAACUAAUACGAUUCCUACCUCUGAUUGUUGUUUCUGUUGCGUUUCUGAAGUCGUUUCUGUGCUCACAGUUUUGAGCUUUUUCUAAAAUUGUCCGUUUUCUUCGAUUUCUUGCUUGGGUUAUGUUCUCUAGGUUCCCAUGAGCCUAAAACCUCUGUCAGUAAACUCUGAUUGUGAUCCAGUUGACAGGGAUCUGAAAAACUGUUUCAAAACCUUUUUGUCUCACAUUUCGAAACUUUAUUGUCGAAAAGUCAUAAUCUGACUUCGUGCCUUUAGGAUUUGUUGUCACGAAUGUCAUGAGGAUCGUUGCUGUCAAAUUUGUUUUCAGAACUGAUAACUUUGAAGUUUUGAGCCUUUAUUUUGGACCAAAAUGCCCCUGGAUAGUCAUAUUUCGACCCGAUUGUCCGAAAAUUGUUCCGACAGUUUCUUUGCCUUAGUUUUAUCCUAAAACUACCUUGUGAAUUGAUUUGAUCAAAGAAAAAGAGCCGAAACCCUUUUUCCUUUGAGGCCGUGGACUAUUUCCUUUAGGGGGAGUUUUUCGGUUUCGAAAACUUGUCUUUUCGUACCUGAUUGUCCUAUUCUGAAGCUUUAAUGCUUUGUCUAUCGUUUAUGUAUUGUUUUGCGAUCGAACUAAUCGAUUUUGUUUGGAUUCUGCUUUGUUUUUCUCCGAGGUUCAGUUGAAGGAACUUUGGAAUACUCAGAGCAAUUGUUUGAGGAGAACUUUGUUUGCGAAGCUGGAACAGCUCGAGAUGUCGAUGGCCGACUGGUUCUCGGUGGUCUCUCCCUCGGGGGGGGAUCAGAUAUGAGCUGCAGGAUCGGGAUGCCCCACCGCUUGGGUGAUCGAUGUUGCUGGUCACCGGGCGACGUAUCGGGGAAGGGUCGUGGAGGACCGGACUGACGAGCGUGGACGUCUGACGAAAGGAGUUCUAUGGCGCAUGGAGUUGAGCUUCAACUUGCCGACUUCAGAUCGUUGUGGGUUUGACACUGGGAGGUUAGGUUUGGGCAGGCGUCAUGUUUUGUGUAGAGCUCUGAUUCGUUUUGCUUUUGGGAUCGGGUAGGUUUCCGACGCAUGACUUUUCGUGUGGUUCUCUUACUGAGGGAUCACAGUGAGUCAGUUGGACCAUAGGGGUCUUUGCUUAGGCCAUAUUGAGGCCGACUUUCUCCUAGUGGUUUGUAAUUAUAAUUUUCUCACUUACACUUCUGGGUCUGUAUAUAUUUGCCUACGGGCACACUGCUUUGGAGUCACUGCGAGUGCGCGUGACAUGGAGUGCAGCUGAGGCUGUACAUGUAUAUAUGUUGUAUAUCGAUUAGUUUAGUAGUUGGGUUUUGUCUUUA